UUAAAACGCCUUGUGAAAAAAUGAAAGCUGCUCCUGCCUUGCUGGGAUUAAAUCUCGUUUUCAGUGCUAAGGGCUCUCAGCUGCUGCUCACUACGAGGAACCCUCCAGCUGGGAACCUUGAUGGUGUUUUCCCAGCCUGGCUGGCCUCCAAAAGCCAAGCUGAUGCACCAGGGUCAGGGUUUGGGAGCUGUAGCUGCUCAGCACCUUUGUAAGCCUGGCCUCCAGUUCAAGCACGUAAGCAUGGAUUUGGGAGUCCCGGCAGCAAAGCUGAGCACGACUGAUCAUAAAAAGCAAUCUGCUCAGCUGGAGGACUUGCAUUUUCUUCAUUCAAAUUUUGGAGGACCACUGCUUCUAAGAAAGCUUUCCAGAACAGCUACCCAGGGAAGUACGAGCUACUUAAUCACCCACAGAGGAAAAAAGGACUCUAAAAAGGACAGAUUUUCUCAAGAAUCUUCUCCAAUGCCCAGUCACUAAAGGACAUAAUGAACUCAAAGGUGAAGGUGGCCAUCACUUGAUGUAUAAACUCUUAUAAACUAUGCACCACUCUUCAAUGGUUAAGGCACAAGCGAAUUUCCUGACUCUUAGUUGCCACAGCUAAGAUUAUUAUCAAUAGAUUAGUUUAGCUUAUUAAUUACUCCCUUGGGAAAAAAAGGCAUCUGCUUAAAUAAAUGUAGUACGAACCUAGCUGCUGCAAAACACUACAGCUGCUUUUACUAUAUAUCUGAGAAGCAGUACUUGGUGGGGCAUGAAGUUACACACAAUUUCUCCCUGGCCUGCAAUCCGGACACCCUGCGCCUUUGAAGAAUACGCAUUAGAAAGCAGUGAUCAAAAAUCCAGACACGCAGACAGAGCAGGGUGGCAAUUUUAAGUAUCUUGAAAUUGUCUACUGCGUCUGAUCAAACAUAAUGAAAGCGUGACAGUCAGUCAAUCAAGUGGCAUCAAAAGACACCUGAUAAUCUCAUUCUUCCACAUCAAUACAUCAGCACUGUCAUGUAAUCACUGGGGGAGGACAGAAGGAUUCAAUCAAGGGAAAAAAAAAGAGACUUGAAAAUAGAAGUUGAAUAUUACCAACAGCUACUGGGAAGAGCAUAUGCAUGCAGACACAGUGACCUUGGAAAAGCUUAAUUCAUCAAGUAAAAUUUAGCAGUCUAACUAAACAAGGACAAAAGCCUCACAGGAGAAAGCUGAAUGCUGGGCAUCUGGAUGAAAGUGCAGCUAGAACUGGAAAUCACAUCACCUGUGUCCUGCCUCAGCCACCGAUGGGCUUCCAUUCCUCAGUUUAGCAAAGUGAGCAGUGCUGGCUUAUUUGCAAGUACUCAGUUACCACCGCCAAUGGCAGUGGUAUCACGUGGGGAUGUGUUGCCAAAGGAAUGUCGUGCCUUCAAGGGGAACUGAGCAGUCAGUCCAUGAGAUAGCCACGGUCAUACUCACUUGCUCCAAAUAAUUCCUUGUGCACCUCUAACACCACAGCAACUCCGAUGUUGUCCUUCGUCAUCACUCUAUUUAACAUCGCUUCCGAACCUUCCGAGUUGGCCAUCGCCACCUGGUUGAACUCCACGGUGUGCUUCUGCACCAGCGUAAACCUGGUGAAACAAGCAGGAUCACACAUGAGCACGUAUGGCAUCGAGCUGCAUGAAAGGCAUGGUUCCUGCCUGACUGCCAGUCUGCAACAUCCAAGGACAGAGUCCGAAGGACAGGCCAUAGGAUGCCCCAAAAUGCCUUGCUUCAGUUUGUGCAGUUCACACAAAUGAGAAGCGUGAAUGCCAGCACUUCUCCUGCCUUCCCAAUGGUUUGAUGCUUUUAGUGUAGCAGAUCUUUUUGGAAAAGAUAUUCAAUAAUACACCCACAUUAAAGCCAAGAGUGUUCUGUUAUCCUGUGGCAGCAGUACACCUUUUAAUACCUGAAGAUUAAGCCAGCACAGCUUUAAAGACUGAAGAUCUUUAAGAUUAAUCUUAGAGAGCUGAAACUUGUCAAGCACGGCAAAGGUUUGUAAAGAAGCUAGAACCACUGAAAGAGUCCUGCACCUUGAAUAAAUUGCUGAGGAAGAACGGAUACAUCUUGCAGUGGUUCAGACAUCCUAUCCUCACCCCACAUCCGUCAGUCCUGCAACGCAUGCUCUCCACUUACGCAGCUAGGGAUUGCUACGAGGUGCCACAAGAGAAGGGCCGUGUCAAACCCUGGCCACUUUACAACACAGUCAAGUUAGCUGUGAGCUGACCCUGAGACCAUCUGUGGAAAUUUAGCGCGGAGGCGGAGUUCCCUAACCUUCCUAGUUAAGAGGACAGAGACAGAGGUAUGGUUCUAGGGAAGGAGAAGCACUAUCCAACAACUCAUGUCCGUUCUCAGUCGGUGUUUUACAUCAACUGGGCUGCAAGUGAGUCAGCAAAGCUGGAAGGUGAUCUGGGCUUAUUGACUAUCACCUAGGACAAAAAAAGGCAUAAUGUAAUAGUACUGAAGAUGUGAAGAGUGUGGUCUGUUGAGGAGAGAAGUAUCAAGCUAUCAGGCUCUUACUCUGAAGAGAUGUUUUGGGCAAUGAACACCAGGAGCUUCUGCAUGCUUGGAGUUUCAAGAAACCCAAACAGGAACGUGUUCAACCACCUCUCUAGCCACUGCAUCUACCAGGAGCCCAGUGAGCGCUGCCAACGAAGCUGCCUUCCAGGAUGAUGGCAAGUGAGAAAUGAUGCCAAUAACAGCCCAAGAUGGUCUCUGUAGGGACCAAGGAAUUCCCAUCUAACAGAAGAACCAGCCCUGGACAUCUGAAGGUUAACUGGCUCCAAGCACCCAUAAAACCUGCCUGCAAAAACAAGGCACGCGAGCUGUGACCCCGGUAGGUGAAGAGUGAAACAUGAGGGAAGCCUGCUGCGUAUGCUGGCUAGCAAGCGGCACGGCCAGGAGCUGCCCAGCUCGGCCCGUUCCUCUGCCAAAAGAUCAGUUUUCGGUUCUCCGUGAGCACGCAGGAUGAUUCAAGAGUUCCCUGACAUUUGUUUUCGGAACGGCCUCCAUGCAUCCCCUUUCCCUCCCCACCACACCGAGUUUUGGUUGCAGUCCUUCGCAGCGGAUCUGGAGUUACACGAGCCAUCGGCUGCUGCUGGAAGAGCUGCAGCACGCGCUGCCUUUCAAGGGGGGCAGUGCCCUGAGACGUGGGGGCAUCCGAGUGCUACAUGAGCCUGUGAAGAAGAAGAUGGUCUCUGAAAGGAGCGACAGAAGAGCCCGAGCUCAGACAGCGGUCCUACCAAGCGGCACUCACCUCCGGGCUGCACACACGCCACUGCUUCGCAGAGACAGCAUCUAAGGCAAGAGCACAGACACAGUGGGUACACAGAGGAGACAGGUACGGGUUUAGGAAUACUGUCUAGGUUUUAAAACACGUAAUUUUGUAAGUAGAAAACACUGUAAAGUUGUACUCAUCUCCCUGUGUACACAUCCAGGGCUACUUUGGCUGUACCUGCACCUACCACGAGAGGAAUGGCAUCAAUGUAAACCUGAGCUGCAGCACCCCCAAAUGCAAGGGGAGCUCAGUUCCGCAGCAGUUAGGGGUUACUGCAACAGGCAGAAAAACACCUCGCAGGCAUUACAGGACUGUUUACUGUCUUCAAGUCAAACUGUACACCAAAAAAUGCAUCAAAGAAUUAAAUGGAUGUCCUAAGGCCCGUAUAAUGUUAGCAGGUCUCAAAUACUUGACGCGUGUGCUUCUCUCAUCCACUCAAAAUAUUCCUCAUUUGUCUGACAAGCUUCCCUCCUUCCCAGUCUUUCCCUCCAGACUAAGAUGGAGAAGGAUGAGGGUUAUUGCACAGGCAAAAACAAAUGAAAAGCCUAAAGAUUUAACUGCUCCCAAUGGUAAGACCUAAUUUGUCUGGAGGAAAAAAUGCAAGCCAAGGGCAACCUGAUGGUCUGAACCCAGCUCCUCCUGGCACUUCUGGCUAUGCUGCCAUGUGAGAAGUUGCCUAGCCCUGUUUUCCUUUUGCUUUCUUAACUUUCCACAACAAAAAGGGAUUAGAGGAAAGGCGUUCACAAGUGGAAAUUUCUGCUGGGUGGAUAAUUCAUCCUGUGGUAGCUCUCUCCCAUUUCCAAGGCCGGUUGUAAAUUCAUCUACCAGGGUAAAUACAAAUUGAGUCUUAAGGAAUAGAGGAAGCCAGUAAAGAGAAGUCCCCAGUUCUCUGGAAUUACGUCCACCACUGCCCCAGCCUGCCUUUUCCUGCCCUGGGCUGGUCAGUUCCUCUCCUCUACGAAAACGCCAAAGAGAAGUGUUUUCCCUUGCCCGGAGAGAACUUUUUGGACAAAUACUCUGCCUUUGUGCCCCGUGACAAUCAGUUUUAAGUUUCACAUUUCUCUUUAUCAGCAGGAAGCUCUGUUCAGCAGCAGCCUGUGUCGUUUGGGUACGAGCUGAGCCACUACGUGCUCCGACAAGAAGCUAGCCAACAAGCCCUCUCCGAAGAGCCAGGCGAGCUUGCAGUCUCGCAGCGCUGGCAGCAGUUCCUGCCCGCGGUUUUGCCCGCAGAUGGCCAGGUGAUAACGCCACGCUUUCCCCGAGCACUGCAACUCUGCUCCUGCUCUCUGUGCCCAAAGCACCGAGAAAGGUAAAAGAAAUUCCCCACGGAAACUCUCAAACACCUCUUCAGGCUGUGAAACCUCUGUGCUGAGCACCAGAAGCUGGAACAGCUGCAGGCCACAUAACCGAAAGCUUAAAAACCUGUGAGACCUCUCCACCCCGUUGUUCACACGAGACAGGACCACAGCACUGAGCCAAGCACACAGAGCAGCUUGUCUGCUCUCCCCCUUUCACAGUUCUCCUGCCACAAAAAAAAAUAAAAUAGCCACAACUCUGGAGAAGGAAGUCUUCCUCCAUGUGCUUCUCUCAGCACUCAGAGCAAUGCGAGAGCCUUUUGGAAGAGCUUUUUGAUUGAUUUCUCAGGAAGAAAAAAAAAAGCAAAACUAAUCUGUGAUUAGAAGUCACAAAGAUGCUCAGUCAGGUGGAAGCAUUCCUGAAAAGCAAGGGGGAAACUACCUAACAAAUUCAGUCAGCUGCCUUGGAGGGUAAACAGCAAACCUGGGCACAAUCUACAGAUCUUGACUAUUACCAACAGUGGAUGUUUUUGUAGUUCUCUUCAUACUUGUAAGUAAAAGUUGUUGAACUAAAAAAGUCUGUUGGAUUGACCCUGCCACCAAAGCAAAGCCAAAAAAUAAAAAUAAAGAAAAGAAGGGUUCACUUUACAGCAUUGCUCCAAAUGUCUUCUGUGCUUCCAGCUGACCCGGAAGGCACACUUCUCAGCAUUUACAGAACUUGGCCUAGCAGCCCAUAAAAGCCUCCGUUUUAAGAUGACCCGUCAGUAAUGCAGAUUCCUGGAGUUGCCUUAAAAUGUCCUUAAAAACAGGAGACUGUUUUAGGCAGGGAUAAAGCUUCCCCUCCAAUCCUGUGACCCUGCAAGGUGCAGGCCAAGCAUCCCUUCUGUGUGUAGCUGUGUGACACGGCUCGUUUAUCGCUGAAAGAAGGCGAUUCCCCUUUCUCCUUGCUUCCUGAGGAAACGGUCUCCCUCCCUGCCUCCCCCAAAAGCUCACAACAAAACUCUCUCUGCAGCAACAGCGUAUUAACUGUUCGUCUCUAUUCCAUUACCUGCAGAGCUGCCUCAACCUGUGAAUAAAUAUUCUUUUGUCUUUAAAUAGUGUUUAAAAUAUUCACAUUGGUUUUGAGUUUCAGCUGGCUGCAAGAAGGGACCGGAGAGGUGCCGACCUGCAGUAGUGUCUGUGGAAGAGCUGGUGGUGAGGACAAGGACGGGUGGUGAGGAUGAAGGACAGGUAGGUAGGAGCUUUGGGUGGCAUUCCCAUUGCCCACACGACUUUUCUGCUGACAUCACCAGCAACUUUUCUCUCUGGAACAAGCACUGCUGAUGGUUGUAGGCAAGACAGAUAAUCUGGUGAAAAAAGUAAAGCUGUACGAGAGUUCCCCUGGAUCCAGUGCAAUGGGAGGCAGCCUGCUGCUGUUUUGAUCCUCAGGUAACCAGGUUUGACCCCGCCACCUUUACCAAUGUCAUAAGCAAGCUUCACCUUGCCUUCAGCAGCAAGGCGAUGAGCAAAAAGCCCUCCUCUUCCUCUCUCCCCUGACCCUACUCUCACCAUUGUGCUCAAAGCGGCAGCAUUUUGCAUUCCCCAACGUGUUUACUGGGACAAAAAAGGGAGAAGUGUUUCAUUUCUCUCCUGGUGUGUGACUGUCUGAACACCUUUGUUAACAUGACUGCGUACAAGUGCUGUAGAUCUGUGAAACCUGCCUGCAGACAACACACACAGUUAACUUUAUUUGAAAUACACACCCUAGGAAAUCUGCAGACAGUCCUACAGCCCUUCUAAUCCUAUUUUAUACACCCUUCUCAGGGCAAGUAUCACGUAGAAAGCCCCCUUACCAGGCAGAAAGACGAUAAAACCCUCCAGUGAACUGCUGAGCAUAACCAGCUGCAACGCCGUGCAACCAAAAAUGCCAUUAAUCAUUUACAUCAGGAAAUGCCAAAGGAAGGGAGAGCACACAGCCUUAUCUGCUCCUUGUGUACACAUGCAGGUUACAGGCUGUGGUUAAACCAGUCGUUCGCAGGACACGCAGCAGCUAAAUGGGGCUCUGCUCCCUGGCCCUGGCUGCCGACUUUGUGUCUCCAAAAUCCAGAAUCGCCGUGCUCACUGCCUGCACGAGCUGUGUCUAAAACUGCCUGCAGCUGCUGCUUCUUCAUCUCGUGGAAUUUUUAUCAGUGCCGAUUUAAUGCCUUCCCUCGAAAGGUAUAAAAUCUGUUUCUUGUAGAACAUCACAUAAGGCAUUUCUGCCUGGCUUUAAUCGUAUUUUAAAUGAGUGUCUUUUCAGCCCCAGAGGGAAAGCUUUCUGGUAGCGUCUGAAUGCUGUUAAAUCACUUCUUGAUCCUCUGUACGGAGAUGUGCAAGUGGCUGCAAAAGUUACUCUGCUGACCAGGACUCCGGAGCAGCUCUUCUGGUGAGAUCUUCCUCCAGUGCACUUCUUUUUUCCUUCAGAACAAUUCCAGGUCGGGCUUUUUGGUUUCCAGUGCUGACCUGGGAGGUAAGUCCUCUCCUAAAUAAUGGGAACUGAGUCACGUCCAGUACCGUGCCAGCACAGGUAGCUGUCACUUUGCCCUUCUGCGAGUGUAUCAAGCUUACAGCAAAACCAGCCAGCGUGUUCUGCUAAAAGCCUGCAGUCCCCUCUGCACCUCGCUCUCUGAGGUCUUACUCCUGAAAGAGGCACGAAGGGACCCAGUAAAUCCUCUGUGUAUAGACUCCUUUUGCCACCUCCUGCAGGUUCCUUCAAAGUUUGCUUUGUCCCCUCUGAGCUGUCUGUUCAUUUUUUGGAGGGGUGUCAGGUGGCUGGAAGUGCACGUGUGAAGUUUACUGACACAGACCUGGAAGUGUGAGCCUUUUAACGUGCAGAACUGCUGUCAUCAGAUAAAGGUAGCCAUGAAGAAACAUCCUAAAACCCUCUCUGCUUUUACCAUUACAGGUGGGAGGCAGGAGCUGUGCAGACAAACCACUAAAAGCCCCAGGACUGCUCCGAAGAUGAAGUUACACGCUGCCUUCUGGUGAUCCAACCGCCACCACUUCUCAAAAACAGGAGCGCCCUGCAGCCUCCGUCUCCUGCUUUGUUUAUUUACCGCCAGGUGAGGGAGCGAAACCGGCUCAGCACAGGGCCCAACACGUGCCAAGGGCUGGGAGGAGAGCAGGGCUUCCCCUUCUGGCUCCAGUGCACUCUGCUGGGACAGCAACAGCUCCCCGGAGACUGCUGCACGUUCCGACACGCGAAUUUACAACCUGGUAAAUGGGGGGGAAGGCGCAGCUCUCGGAUCCACUCGCAGUUUCUACACGGCUGGCUAGGGUGACGGAAGACCCGAUGACAACACAAACGAGCAGGGCAAGCGUUGGGCAAGCAGCAGCCCAGGCAGCUUGCUAGCUCUAGCCAGCGGUGGGACACUGCACCCAGACAAGUGCAGAGGAGAGUGUCUGUCUGCUUAAGAGCUGUGGGUGUUUCACCAGCUCUAACACGUGUACUUGAGGCAGAAGAAACACCCUGUUAGAUGGAGGGAGGCAAGUACCUAGCACGUAAGCUUUGUCACAGGCCAUCAUCAACAUUAAGCACCGAAUUAAAAAAAAAAUAUUAGCAGAGGCUUAGCAUUUAACGCCUUAAGUAGUAAAUCCACAGCAAAUCCUCCUGAAUUAGAUCCAGGAGGUAUGAGUAAAAUGUAUUUUAACUCGUUUUUUAAAGUUUUCUGAGGUGCCACCUGAGGCUCCCAAACAACUGAUCUCCACCUUGAUGUCGGCUUUGUCAGCGCUCUGCAAAUCAGAUGGCACCCAGCGCCUCACACACCCCUCUGCGGCUCAGGAAUCUCCUUCUGGUACAGAAAAAGCAAACCGUUCAUUUGCAUUUAGCCCCCCUCUUAAACUUAUGUAACCUGAAAGCCUCCAGCAGACUGAGGCUGAGCUAAGCAGUGGGUUUGUGUGGUUAAAGGAAAUUUGCUCUAGAAUUACGCAUGUUACCACUUAAAACAAAAUGUUUGCAGAAGGAAGAAGAGACGCGCCUCCCCGUUUGUGCACGCUGACUCUGAACACAAAAGGCAGCAGCUGCUGCGAGCUACCUAACUGUAAGUUUUUCUUUGCAAUGUUUUAGAUGUAAAUUAAGUAAAGACUCACCCGGGUGUGCAGAUUAAUUAUUUUUUCUCCCCUGAUUCCCUUUCACUUCACUUCCAGAGUCCACACACACCUUGUUGGAAUCACGUUCUGGCUUACUUCUGGCCAGACUGGUGUGAGAGCUAAAUAUUGCUGUGCUUGGCGAACCCAGAGACAAGCCUGCCUUGCUUUUUGUAAAAAUAAGACCGGUAAUGAAAAACAACCAGAGUCUGAACGAUAAAAAAAUCCCAGCUUAUCACACGAAACGGAGUUUUAUAAAUACCCUCGCAAGGCAAGAAAACAAGUAGCAGUCAUAACACCACUUACUUGUGGAGAACUCCCACUGCAGAAGUUACCCAGCUCCUAGUGACAGCAGGCGGGGAGAGGAGAGCCACGCACACCGAACUCAGACUGACCGCUCCUGCCUUCCGAGGCAGGCAGCAGAACGGCUGAUUACACCAGGUCCCCUCGGCCCUGCAGGAGUUGUGCUUUCCUGACAACGCCACUGCUACCAGCACAGGGAAAAAAAACACCCUUACAAGCAAAAACAAGCUCUAUCAGUAAAAGUCCACUUGUGCAGAUAACUGCAUCUACAGCCGGGGCUUCUGCUGGCACAGCUAUGUCAGUCACGGGUCACACUUCGUCACCGUGCUCGCAGACAGAGCUGUGCCAGCAGAAGUUUGCCAUAUAGACCUGGUGUGAAGCUCAACAGCCAUCAAAGUGAAUCCGCAAAGUUUCGCGUUUUUCAGGCCACUGCCAAAUGAACUUUUUCCAACCAACACCCUGACGAUCGGCAUUCUUGCUCCUGUGUCGUGGGCACGUUAGCAUCCUGGCUUCCGAGGGGAGAAGAAACCUAAACUUAGCCCAGGAAUGUGGCAACACCUUUCAUCCACUGACAUCGUACUUUAAAUUCACAAACUAAAUUAGAAAGCAGGAGCCCCUGCAGGAAGAAAAGGCAGAAACGAAUAAAUUAAGUUCUGCUCUACU
This is a non-coding RNA of Anas platyrhynchos (mallard), 9633 nucleotides long. The record is from RefSeq and is a predicted model, not a curated record. Lineage: Eukaryota; Metazoa; Chordata; Aves; Anseriformes; Anatidae.